GUAUCUUCAUAUUUAUUGAUCUGUGAGGCAAAAUGUGCACAUCUUACAUGCCCAGCUGGGUGGGUUUUCACAAACUAGGCACACCCACACACCGCAGCCCUGGGGGACAGGCAGGACCUUCCCGAUCCGGGUAAACCCCUUUAUGCUGUGCUCUGUGACCUUCUCCAAGGACAGAGCUCUCUGGGGUCUGGACGCUUGAACAAAGGUUUCAUGCUCUGGUUCCCUCCAAGGAGUGUGUCCUGUUCCUCUGUGUGCUGGCUCCCUUUGCUCCAGGAAACGCUCCCAGGACUUAAGGAUUCAUCCUCAAUAAUGCACGUAAUCCUCAGAGCACCACGGUGUACCUGUGUGGGAAUGACCACCAUGCGUUUCCCCACGCUCCUGUUAACGGGCACCGUUCAGUUCCUAUGCUGGGAAGAACCACGCCGUGCUGAGUAGUUGAAUCCCUGUCACUGACAGGGAUGCACUCCUCCCUCCGCGUCUGCAGCUUGGGUUCCAGCACCCCAGAGAGCAAAACCCACUUUACAUCAAAUGGCACAGUGUUUGAGGACAACGCCUACACACAUCUUCUGUGAAAAGUGGACUCUGUUUUUCAUUAUAUAGGAGGAAUUCUUCUUUCUUGCAAUGCACAUGAGCUCUUUGUAAGUUGCUUAUUACAGCUCAGCGUCUGAAACCAGCGGUGAACAGAACAGAUGCAGAUGCGGCAGCACAAAGUCCAAGGAAGCAGACAGAGUCAAACAGCUAAGCACACUCUCUGCAGCCACCUCUGCAAUGCCAGGACCAGGGUAACAGUCACCACGGAACAGGUAAACCUGCAGUACCGGUGGUUUCACACGAAUCAAUUCUGGUUCCCACUCGUGUAAAUGACCACUGUGCAUUUUGCCUGGCAGAGCUUGCAUUUCCUCUGUAGGAGAGUUGCAAACACAACGCCCUGUGGUCUCCACCAUCCUCUCGGGCAGAGCUGGCCUCCCCGUUGCUCAACACAAACAGAGAGGGCAGAGAACACACAUCCACUUGUGAACGUCGCUGACCUGGAAGUGACAGACUUUGUCUCUGCUCAGUUUUCUUUGCUGUGAACGUCACAGUGGUCACAUAUGGAUGCCAGGAAUACUAGCAAAGCAGGCCAUGACAGGCAGCAACUUCCCACAAACGCACUGAAGUGGAAAGGGGAAAUGUUUGUUUCUCUGCUAAGCCGGCAGACAGCAAUGCCUCAUGUGAGAUGUCAUGUGAAUAAGAGCACACACGAGAGCGCACAGCCCACGUGGUGCCCCAGCUCUCCCAGCCUGUGAGCCAUCUGGUGUGACAGACCCCUCGGUCCCCAGCAGCCAGCCUGAGGUUCGGAGUGGCACAGGGAGACAUCACAGGCUCCUCCAGGCACCAGCGUGAGUCCCAGCUCUCCUGAGGGCAGCCCUUGAAGGCUACAGCACAGAGAGACGGCUGUGUGCAUGGCGGACUCCUCCCCACCCGCCUGGGUCCUUUGCUCUGGACUUUGACGCAGGAAGGGUUUCCCCACGGCCCAUUCACUGUCCCUGACCCUGAACAUGGGGAUAGAACCUGCGGCUGGGCAACCUCUGGGCUCUGUCCAACCCAGGACCGCCACGUGGCUUUGGCUGCCUUUGUAACCUUGGUAGCAUCUUUAAUUGCACAUGAUGGAGAUGUGGGCAUUUUCCUGAGCUCCAAUGGCAUCUGCAUCCCUAGAGUCAUGAUUUCCCUUUCCACCUCCACAGGACUCACCACACUGAGGGGGCCCCCAGCCACAGAGCCUCACAGAGCUCUUCCAGUGCACGACAACAGGAGAAGGUAUCCGGAAAGGAAGGAGAAUCUGGAAUUGCAUGAGUAACAAACACUUAGGAAUUUAGACUCCAAAAUCACUCGCAAAGGAGCCCCGUCAGCCUUCCCCGUCUGACUGCAGCCGUCCUCACGGCAGAGGGUUAAGGCUAGACCUCCACUGCUCAGGAGCACAGGCUGUGUGGCCCCUAGUCUCAGCCCUGGAAUGCUCUGCUUCCCGGAACUGUGGUUCCCCAUGCCGUGGACCAGCUGGGCCUUGGGGCAAGGGAGAGGUGGUCUCCCCGUGUCCUGCUCCUGGCCUGUGCGUCCUUCCUGGCAAACUCACAUCUUACUGUGAGACACCAGAAGCAAAGAUGGCCAGCCCCAUCCUGCCUUGCCCAGCCGUAAAACAGAAGUGCAGGAUGCGGAGUCACAGCCUCAGCUGUGGCAACUGUGGUUUUCUCACCAAGCGUUUCACAGAGAAGCCACCCACCAGGUCGGGGGCCUCCUUCCCCGGUGGGGAGGAGGAGCGCUGUCCUCCUAGCUGUUCUUCUGCUCCCUGUGCCAAAGCUGAUCGGCCUCGUUGACCCAGUCAUGAAAGACAAAUGGGCAGCUCCAAGGUGUGCCGGGCAGAGGGGCUCUGAGUGCUGACUUGGUCUCUGGGUUUAAAGACAUCGUACCGUGAGCUGUGCCCUAGAUAGAGUGGGGAGCCCCACCUGGGCCACCUCCCCUGAGCCUGAAGAGGGUGACAGCGGCACGCUCUGCUCACCAGGACUGGGCACCCGCAGGGCUUGAUUCGGAUCAGUGGGGCUCUUCACGAGUGAGCAAGGCACACAUCAAGCCAUUCCAACAAACACACGGUUGCAGACAGAACCCAAGAGAUCAGAGAGACCAAUGGGGAAUAACAGGGAGAUUUUUUCCCGGAGUUUAGAUGCACAACGACCCCCCCACUCUCAGCCAAAGUGCUGGGCGUUAGUACAAAGGUGCGGUUCUGGUUUUGUACAUUUGGCAGAGGGCGCUGGCCUUUAGAAAGGGGGAGACGGGGCAAGCGAGGGCACAGGGGCGGGACAAAGCAGUGAAUAACCUAGCCUUCAAAGAAGACAGAGCCUUCUGCCUCCUGUGAGAACAAGAUGAUGCAACCUCUGCUCCCAGGACAGCUGUCAAUCUUAUGUGACCAGAACAAGAAGUCAUAGCUACGGUGUGGGGAGGGGGCUUGAGGGUCAUUGCUCUUUAAAUUCGGCUUUAACACUACCACAGUAACGCUAGAUUCUAGAAAACACGUCAGCCUUACCCAAGUGUGAUGUUGCACAUCUGUAAUGCUAGUGCCCUGGGAGGCUGAGGCAGGAAGAUGACACGUUCAAUUCCAGCCUGGGCAAUUUCGCAAGACCCUGUCUCACAGUUUGAAAACUUCAAAGGAGCUGGGGAUGUAGCAGGGAGAAAGGCUCAAUCCUCAGAACCAGCGACAACCACAAGGUCAGCCUGAGCUAUCUGCAGUUUCCCGAGAUAACACAGUGUGUUUUUCACUCAAGUAACCAACGCUUUCACAGGAGCCCUGUGAGAUGCCGGGGCUGCCUCAGGAUCCAGACACCUCCAGCUCUGGUUCUGACCUGCACUGGAACCUGGACAGACUCUGAGGCCAUUGAGGGGAAGGAGAGGAAAGAGAAAGUGGAAAUGGAACUUUCUUUUGUGUCUUUAAACCCCUGAAGCUCCGCAUCAGUGAGGAUCGCCAGGGAUGCACAAUCCCUUUUCAGGCCCGGGCUCCGGGUUACAGAAUUUGAUCGGCACGGUGCAGGCAGGAAGAGCUGCACCUGGAUUUCACCUGCAGAGGCUGCUCUUAGCCAUCGCUGUGAGAGACUGUGUUUCUUAUGGUAAAACCUCGGGUCUAAACAGGCCUGGGAGGACGCACUCCUGCCCAAGAGAGAGACGCACGCCCAGGCCAGGACGGUAAGGAGAGGGCGGAGUAGAUGGGUAGUUCGAGGAGGGGAAGGCGGCUCAAGAGAAAGACUCCUGGAAGUUUGGCUCCGGAAGUGUGCUUCUAGGUUACCUAAGACUCGACGUCAGCUGUUAAAAAAAAGAAAUCAAUAAAAAGGAAAGAGCAUCUGUCUGUGUUCCUUGGCAUUCCUCUGUGGUCCAGGGAAUCAAGGUCCCCACACGAGUUGGGAGUGGGGAGUCCAGGCCAGAGCCUCGGCCCUGUGAGGGCGCCUGGCCGCUCCCCAAGACACAGGCAGCUGGCAGUGCCCAGAAGCUGAGCAGAAGGGGCCAGAGAAUUUCACCCACGAACGGCAAACACAAACCGAGUCCUGAGGAUCCUCGACAUGAGAGUGUAGCUGCUGGAACGACCUCUCAGCAGUGAGGGGAACAGAGGCCAACCGCAGCAUGGGGCCACAGAAGGGACACAGAGACGUGACAGCCACGGGGCACCGGUGACUGGGCUCCCGUGCACGUGUGUGAUGGGUUGCACGGAUGUGUGGGCAUAUGUGUGCGUGUGUCGUAUGCAAAUGAGGGUACUGAAAGGAGGAGGCAGAAGCAAUCUUUGAAGACUUCGCAGCUGGCAUUUCCUAAAACCAGGGGAAGACCUCCAGUGCAGACCUGCUGUCUGCUCAGCAGCUUAUAUCUGACCUGCUGAUUGGUUUGUUUGUUUUUUGUCUUUUUGAGACAGGGUCUCCCUAUGCAGUUCAGGCGGGUCUCGAGCUCACUUUGUA
Molecule: long non-coding RNA, 4466 nt
Organism: Chinchilla lanigera (long-tailed chinchilla)
Lineage: Eukaryota; Metazoa; Chordata; Mammalia; Rodentia; Chinchillidae
Exons: 4
Source: RefSeq, a predicted model, not a curated record